AAGCCAUACCUUCUUCAAAUUUCUCAUGCCCUCAAAACUAGCAUAGAUAGCUUUCAAGUUCUUACAAUUUGUAAAACUAAAUUCUUGAAUAGAUGUGAGGUUGCUAAAUCCUUUGUGUAUCUCUUUCAACUCCAAGCAACCAUCUAAUAACAAUAUUUGUAAGGAUAGGAGUGCAUCAAAUGCAUCAUCAUCAAACUUCAUUUUUACACAAUUUUGAAGAUCUAAAUACUCUAAUGAUGAUAGUAUCUUCAAAUCUAAAGGCAUUUCUUCUAAGUUUUCACAUCCAUCAAGCCAUAUCUUCUUCAAAUUUGUCAUGCCCUCAAAACUAGCAUAGAUGGCUUUCAAGUUCUUACAAUUUGUAAAACUAAGUUCUUGAAUAGAUGUGAGGUUGCUAAAUCUUUCAUGCACCUCUUUCAAGUCCAAGCAACCAUCUAAUAAUAAUAUUUGUAAGGAUAGGAGUGCAUUAAAUGCAUCAUCAUCAAACUUCAUUUUUAUACAAUCUUGAAGAUCUAAAUACUUCAAUGAUGAUAGUGUCUUCAAACCUAAUGGCAUGUCUUCCAAGUUUUCACAUCCAUCAAGGCAUAUCUUCUUCAAAUUUUUCAUGCCCUCAAAACUAGCAUAGAUGGCUUUCAAGUUCUGACAAUUUACAAAACUAAGUUCUUGAAUAGAUGUGAGGUUGCUAAAUCCUUCAUGUACCUCUUUCAAGUCAAAGCAACCAUCUAAUAAUAAUAUUUGUAGGGAUAGGAGUGCAUCAAAUGCAUCAUCAUCAAACUUCAUAUUUGCACAAUCUUGAAGAUUUAAAUACUCCAAUGAUGAUAGUAUCUUUAAAUCCAAUGGCAUGACUUCUAAGUUUUUACAUCCGUCAAGCCAUAUCUUCUUCAAAUUUGUCAUACCCUCAAAACUAACAUGAAUGGCUUUCAAGUUCUUGCAAUUUGUAAAACUAAGUUCUUGAAUAGAUGUGAGGUUGCUAAAUCCUUCAUGCACCUCUUUCAACUCCAAGCAACCAUCUAAUAAUAAUAUUUGUAAAGAUAGGAGUGCAUCAAAUGCAUCAUCAUCAAACUUAAUUUUUAUACAAUUUUGAAGAUCUAAAUACUCCAAUGAUGAUAGUGUCUUCAAAUCUAAAAGCAUGUCUUCUAAGUGUUCACAUCCAUUAAGCCAUAUCUUCUUCAAAUUUGUCAUGCCCUCAAAACUAGCAUGGAUGGCUUUCAAGUUCUUGCAAUUUUUUAAACUAAGUUCUUGAAUAGAUGUGAGGUUCUUGAAUCCUUCAUGCACCUCUUUCAAGUCAAAGCAACCAUCUAAUAACAAUAUUUGUAGGGAUAGGAGUGCAUCAAAUGCAUCAUCAUCAAACUUCAUAUUUGUACAAUCUUGAAGAUUUAAAUACUCCAAUGAUGAUAGUGUCUUCAAACCUAAUGGCAUGUCUUCCAAGUUUUCACAUCCAUCAAGCCAUAUCUUCUUCAAAUUUGUCAUGCCCUCAAAACUAACAUGGAUGGCUUCCAAAUUCAUGCAAUUUGUAAAACUAAGUUUUUGAAUAGAUGUUAGAUUGCUAAAUCCUUUAUGCACCUCUUUCAACUCCAAGCAACCAUCUAAUAACAAUAUUUGUAAGGAUAGGAGUGCAUCAAAUGCACCAUUAUCAAACUUCAUUUUUGUACAAUUUUGAAGAUCUAAAUACUCUAAUGAUGAUAGUGUCAUCAAACCUAAUGGCAUGUCUUCUAAAUUUUCACAUCCAUCAAGCCAUACCUUCUUCAAAUUUGUCAUGCCCUCAAAAUUAGCAUGGAUGGCUUUUAAGUUCUUGCAAUUUGUAAAACUAAGUUCUUGAAUAGAUGUAAGGUUGCUGAAUCCUUCAUGCAUCUCUUUUAAGUCCAAGCAACCAUCUAAUACUAAUAUUUGUAAGGAUAAGAGUGCAUCAAAUGCAUCAUCAUCGAACUUCAUUUUUGUACAAUUUUGAAGAUUUAAAUACUCUAAUGAUAAUAGUGCCUUCAAAUUGAAUAGCGUGUCUUCUAAGUUUUCACAUCCAUUAAGCCAUAUCUUUUUCAAAUUUGUCAUGCCCUCAAAACUAGCAUAGAUGGCUUUCAAGUUCUUGCAAUGUUUAAAACUAAGUUCUUGAAUAGAUAUGAGGUUGCUAAAUCCUUCAUGUACCUCUUUCAACUCCAAGCAACCAUCUAAUAACAAUAUUUGUAAGGAUAGGAGUGCAUCAAAUGCAUCAUCAUCAAACUUCAUUUUUGCACAAUUUUGA
Molecule: long non-coding RNA, 2233 nt
Filed under: Physcomitrium patens
Lineage: Eukaryota; Viridiplantae; Streptophyta; Bryopsida; Funariales; Funariaceae
Description: long non-coding RNA (PPAT_LNC001720)
Source: RNAcentral